RNAcentral lists this ribosomal RNA (465 nucleotides) under uncultured Anoxybacillus sp. Its description in RNAcentral is "bacterial SSU rRNA". It matches the Rfam family "Bacterial small subunit ribosomal RNA", at positions 917 to 1381 of the family's 1533-position model. The record is from RNAcentral. Lineage: Bacteria; Bacillati; Bacillota; Bacilli; Caryophanales; Anoxybacillaceae.
GACGGGGCCGCACAGCGGUGAGCAUGUGGUUAAUCGAAGCAACGCGAAGAACCUUACCAGGUCUUGACAUCCCCUGACAACCCGAGAGAUCGGGCGUUCCCCUUCGGGGGACAGGGUGACAGGUGGUGCAUGGUUGUCGUCAGCUCGUGUCGUGAGAUGUUGGGUUAAGUCCCGCAACGAGCGCAACCCUCGACCUUAGUUGCCAGCAUUCAGUUGGGCACUCUAAGGUGACUGCCGGCUAAAAGUCGGAGGAAGUGGGGAUGACGUCAAAUCAUCAUGCCCCUUAUGACCUGGGCUACACACGUGCUACAAUGGGCGGUACAAAGGGUCGCGAACCCGCGAGGGGGAGCCAAUCCCAAAAAGCCGCUCUCAGUUCGGAUUGCAGGCUGCAACUCGCCUGCAUGAAGCCGGAAUCGCUAGUAAUCGCGGAUCAGCAUGCCGCGGUCGAAUACGUUCCCGGGCCUU